RNAcentral lists this ribosomal RNA (470 nucleotides) under uncultured Bradyrhizobiaceae bacterium. RNAcentral describes it as "bacterial SSU rRNA". It matches the Rfam family "Bacterial small subunit ribosomal RNA", at positions 8 to 523 of the family's 1533-position model. Lineage: Bacteria; Pseudomonadati; Pseudomonadota; Alphaproteobacteria; Hyphomicrobiales; Nitrobacteraceae. The record is from RNAcentral.
AGAGUUUGAUCCUGGCUCAGAUUGAACGCUGGCGGCAGGCUUAACACAUGCAAGUCGAGCGGGCACUUCGGUGUCAGCGGCAGACGGGUGAGUAACGCGUGGGAACGUACCUUUUGGUUCGGAACAACACAGGGAAACUUGUGCUAAUACCGGAUAAGCCCUUACGGGGGAAAGAUUUAUCGCCGAAAGAUCGGCCCGCGUCUGAUUAGCUUGUUGGUGAGGUAACGGCUCACCAAGGCGACGAUCAGUAGCUGGUCUGAGAGGAUGAUCAGCCACAUUGGGACUGAGACACGGCCCAAACUCCUACGGGAGGCAGCAGUGGGGAAUAUUGGACAAUGGGGGCAACCCUGAUCCAGCCAUGCCGCGUGAGUGAUGAAGGCCCUAGGGUUGUAAAGCUCUUUUAACGGGGAAGAUAAUGACGGUACCCGUAGAAUAAGCCCCGGCUAACUUCGUGCCAGCCGCCGCGGUAA